AGUCAUGUCCAGUUCUGUAAACAAAUUCUCAACUGCACCAGAAGGCCUGACAGUUAAGAGAACCCAGUGAAGAAACCUUUUGCAGAGAGAGAAAAGAACCCUUUUGAAUGUGAUCAAUCACGCUGAUUUAUUUGGAUGAUUUCUCUUCUGGAUUUCCUUAAACCAGGGAAAACCCAGAGACAGAGGUCUUGCUAUGUUGCCCAGGCUGGUCUCAAGCUCCUGGCCUCAAGCGAUUCUCCUUCCUCAGCCUCCAAAAGUGCUGGGAUUACAGAGAGGAGUCUGUCGGGAAAACAUGCACCCUCUACAAAGGAGUGAUUCAGAUGACCUGGUCUCAGCUUCCAGCUCCUCUGCUCUCCAGCCGUUCACACACUCCCCAUCACAGGAAGAUUUGUUAAAAGCCAACCAAGAAAGAGAGAGAAUUUGAGAUCCUGCACAAACAAUCCUAGAAGGUGCCAGAAGCUGCCAGAAGCUUCUUCUUUUCCAAGAAGCCACCACUUUGACUGCAGCCACAAAUGACUGCCCACUCCUGCAGGAAGACAGGAGGACCCCAGAGCCCUAUGUGCUCUGCCCCUGUCUACAGACCUGCCUCUCACCGCAUGCCCACAGUCACCACAUGUCAGCCAUGGCAAACUACCUGGGGACCCCCAAGCGACCUGCUUGUGGGGCUCUGCACCCUGGUGCCAGUUCUUCUUUUAGCCUGGGGUCCUCCACCUGCCCUCUGCCUCAAUGGCUCAGUAGAGCCUUCAGAGCUCACAUAUCAGCUCCUCCAAAAAGUGGUGCCGGACCCUGCCUCCCGUCCCUGAAAACCGAGCUUGCACUGUCACAUUUAACAUGUUGUGCCUGACCUAUUCUUCUACACUUCUGUCCUCGUGACGUGGGGUCUGCUGGAGGCCAGUGAAUGUGAAUUUUAUCUUUGUACUUGCAGGGCACAACACGACACUAGGUAUGGAUUAGAUGCUCAGUAACAAUUUUAAACUGGUUUAAAAGUAAUUCCAACAUUGCAGAAGGGUCUAAGGCAAAAAAUGAAUAAAAGUUUCCUGCCACUUCUCAAUCUCAUUCUUCAGAGGCAUCCACAUACACGAGGAAAGCAGUCUUCUAGAUAUUGACUACGCCUGAAUGACCAUACUACAUGUGCACUCAGGCACCGAGCACAUAAGCAUAUGCACAGGACCAUAUAAGCCACGCUGUCCCAUGCUUGCCCUUUUCACUUUAGCAAUGUAUCUUUUUUUUUUUUUUUAAGAGGCAGAGUCUUGCUUUAUCACUCAGGCUGAAGUGCAGUGGUGCAAUCAUAGCUCACUAUAGCCUUGAGCUCCUGGCUUUGAGUGAUCCUCCCACCUCAGCCUCCUGAGUAGUUGGGAUUAUAGGUGAGCCACCAUGCCUGUCCAGCAAUUGAGCUUUAUUUUAUUUUUUUGAGAUGGAGUCUCCCUCUGUUGCCCAGGCUAGAGUGCAGAGGUACAGUGCAACCUCUGCUUCCUGGGUUCAAGCGAUUCUCCUGCCUCAGCCUCCUGAGUAGCUGGGAUUACAGUUGUCCACCACCAUGCCUCUCUAAUUUUUUGUAUUUUUAGUAGAGAUGGGGUUUAACCAUGUUGGCCAGGCUGGUCUUGAACUCCUGACCUUAAGUGAUCCUCCUGCUUCGGCCUCCCAAAGUGCUGGGAUUACAAGUGUGAGCCACCAUGCCUGGCCUGGCCAGCAAUAUAGCUUUUAAAACUUUCCAUGGCAACAUGUAUAGAUCUACAUUAAUCUAUCGAUGCAUAAUAUACCAUAAUAGAAGUCUAGAAAAGUCUAUUUAAACAAUCUCACAUUUUAAAUUGCUUUUUUUCUAUUUUAGACAGUGCUGUAUCCGCAUCCCCUCUCUCUCUAUCUCUCUUUUUUUUUCUUUUUUUUUUUUUGGAGACAGGGUCUCACUCUGUUGCCCAGAUUGGAGUGCAGUGGCUCUAUCUCAGCUCACUGCAACCUUCACCUCCCGGGUUCAAACAAUUCUCCUGCCUCAGCCUCCCGAGUAGCUGGGAUUGAUUACAGCUGCCUGCCAUCACGCCUAGCUAAUUUUUGUAUUUUUAGUAGAGACAGGGUUUCACCAUGUUGGCCAGGCUGGUCUCAAACUCCUGCCCUCAGGUGAUCCACCCACCUCAGCCUCCCAAAGUGCUGGGAUUACAGGCCUGAGCCACCGCACCUGGCUGUUAUAAUCUCUUUUUAUAUGCACCUAUUUGCUUUUGUACAUGGGUAUAGGACAAAUUUCUAGAAAUGAAAUUGGUAGGACAUAGAAAGGGCAUUUAGAAUUUGUCAAAGGUCUCCGAAAAGGUGGCAACAAAUCAAACUCCAAGCACAGGGCAGGAGUCUUUUUCCAGAAACUCUUGCCAACACAAUGUAGUCACCUUUGUAAUUUUUACUAGUCUGAAGAAUACAAUUCACUCUUCUGACUGGCACUAAUUUGAGAAAAGUUGUAUUUUUAAAAUGUUAUCAUUGGUCAUUUGUAUUUCUUUUUCAGUGAACUACUUAGUUACAAUAUCCUUUGCUCAUUGUCCUAUUUGGUAUUUUUCGCUUUCAUAUUGAUUUGCCUAGGUCCUUUAGAUUUUAAUGAAAUUAGCCUGUAUACAUACAUACAUAUAUAUAUAUAUAUAUAUAUAUAUAUAUAUAUGUAUAAAAUCUCUUCCCCCCCAGUUUGUUGUAUAUUAUUUCUUCUUAUUUCUUAUUUAUUUAUUUUUGCCUCAUAAAAGUUUUAAAUAUAAAUUUAGUAGUCACAUUUAACAAUCUUGUCCUGGCUUCUGAGCAGAUACGCUCAUUAAAAGAUACGAGUAAAUAAAAGAAUAAACAAA
Molecule: long non-coding RNA, 2813 nt
Filed under: Homo sapiens (human)
Lineage: Eukaryota; Metazoa; Chordata; Mammalia; Primates; Hominidae
Description: uncharacterized LOC105373418, transcript variant 6 (LOC105373418)
Source: RNAcentral